Molecule: long non-coding RNA, 1419 nt
Organism: Dreissena polymorpha
Lineage: Eukaryota; Metazoa; Mollusca; Bivalvia; Myida; Dreissenidae
Exons: 4
Source: RefSeq, a predicted model, not a curated record
UCAAAAUCUAGGUCACUAGGUCAAAUAAUUAAAAAAUCAUCAACAAUUUGUUUGUGUAGACAGUAGAGGUCACAGUUUUCAUCCAAUGUUUAUGAAAUUUGGUCAGAAUGUUUAUUUUGAUGAAAUCUGGGUUGGGAUUGUAUUUGGGUCAUCUGGGGUCAAAAACUAGGUCACUAGGUCAAAUAAUUCAAAAAUCAUCAACAAUUUGUUUGUGUAGACAGUAGAGGUCACAGUUUUCAUCCAAUGUUUAUGAAAUUUGGUCAGAAUGUUUAUUUUGAUGAAAUCUGGGUUGGGAUUGUAUUUGGGUCAUCUGGGGUCAAAAACUAGGUCACUAGGUCAAAUAAUUCAAAAAUCAUCAACAAUUUGUUUGUGUAGACAGUAGAGGUCACAGUUUUCAUCCAAUGUUUAUGAAAUUUGGUCAGAAUGUUUAUUUUGAUGAAAUCUGGGUUGGGAUUGUAUUUGGGUCAUCUGGGGUCAAAAACUAGGUCACUAGGUCAAACACUAGGUCAAAUAAUAAAAAAAACCUUGUGUAGACAAUAGAGGAUGCAGUUUUCAUCCAAUCUUUAUGAAAUUUGGUCAGAAUGUUUAUCUUGAUGAAAUCUGGGUUGGGAUUGUAUUUGGUUCAUCUUGGGUCAAAAACUAGGUCACUAGGUCAAAUAACAGAAAAACCUUGUGUAGACAAUAGAGGUCACAGUUUUCAUCCAAUUUUCAUCAAAUUUUGUCAGAAUGUUUGUCUUGAUGAAAUCUGGGUUGGGAUUGUAUUUGGGUCACCUGGGGUCAAAAACUAGGUCAAUAGGUCAAAUAUUAGAAAAACCGUGUGUAGACAAUAGAGGUCACAGUUUUCAUCCAAGCUUUAUGAAAUUUUGGUCAGAAUGUUUAUCUUGAUGAAAACUGGGUUGGGAUUGUAUUUGGUUAGUCAGGUGAGCGAUUCAGGGCCAUCAUGGCCCUCUUGUUUAUAUUUAUCUCACUCUACAGGCCACAAUUUUCAUCAAAUCUUCAUAUAAUGUGAUAAGAAUAUUUAAAGGGACAAUAUAAAAGCUUUGUCAAAGGCAUCCAAAGACGAUGUCACCAUAUCAAAGCUUAGAUCAACCUUGUGACCUAGCUGGGCCACGCUAGAGGCUUGAUUUAGUGCUCAAUCUUGAUGAUACUUGAGUAGAAUUUGUAUCUUGACUAAAUGUAGACCGAUUUCAAGUCUGGUCCAUUGAAUAAAACACAAAGUCUCCAGGUAAAAUUUCAGAAAAACCUAGUUACCACUCUAGGAACAACAUUUGUGAAUACAUCUUUAUGAAACUUGUUUUGAAGUUUAAUAUCUUUGCUACUCAACCACAUUGUUGCUUAAAAGCCAAAAUUGCUGCAAUUGUUGUUGACCAAAUCCAUCUGGAACUAUUAAUCUAUUGCUAAUACUGUUUUAUUUGUUUG